Molecule: long non-coding RNA, 508 nt
Organism: Heterocephalus glaber (naked mole-rat)
Lineage: Eukaryota; Metazoa; Chordata; Mammalia; Rodentia; Bathyergidae
Source: Ensembl
AGCCUUGGUCAUCUGCUUUGUUACUUCUGAAGUUACCACUUCAGAGAGUCCAGGCCUUCAGAUGUGCAAUGGCAAAAGAAUCAUCUAAGUAUUUCUGUGUUUCUUCUGGACAAUGGGAUUGAGAAUGAAGGUGGCAGCUGAACACGACUGUGAAUUCAAAGGCCACAGCGGCAACAGAGGACAAAAUCCAUCAUGAGCCUGAUGGGUUGGUGAGACGGAUUCAGGCACAGUGGGAAGGUGUAGGUUUGGCAAAAGGAUGAGGGUCCCACCUUAACAGCUGGUUUUUGGCAGUCUUCCCAGAAGUGCCUCCCUGAACUCUGAACAGCAGGUAUGAAUAAUGGCAGUUUCCAAAUCCUAUCACCCAGUCUUAAUCAUCCACAGCAUAGAUCCAUCCAGCAUGGCUUUAGUGAAUGCUUGGCCCAGUCGAAACAGAAGUUAAGUGCAGUAAAAGUUCUGGUGCAUCUAGUUAUAGCUGAGACUUUGUGCUGUCAGGCAUGUUUUUACUUGA